RNAcentral lists this ribosomal RNA (507 nucleotides) under Papilio hopponis. RNAcentral describes it as "partial 16S ribosomal RNA". Lineage: Eukaryota; Metazoa; Arthropoda; Insecta; Lepidoptera; Papilionidae. The record is from RNAcentral.
AAACAUGUUUUUUUGAAAAUAAUUUAAAGUUUAAUCUGCCCCCUGAUNAAAUUAUUAAAGGGCUGCAGUAUUUUGACUGUACAAAGGUAGCAUAAUCAUUAGUCUCUUAAUUGGUGACUUGUAUGAAAGAUUGGAUGAAAUAUAUACUGUCUCUAUUUAAUUUAUAAAAUUUAAUUUUUUAGUAAAAAAGCUAAAAUGAGUUUGAAAGACGAGAAGACCCUAUAGAGUUUAAUAUUUUAUUUAAUUAUUAUUAAUAUAUAAAUUUUAAAAUUAAAAUUAAAUAAAUUAUUUUGUUGGGGUGAUAGAAAAAUUAAAUUAACUUUUUUUUUAUUUUAUACAUUAAUUUAUGAAUAAAUGAUCCAUUAAUAAUGAUUAAAAGAAAAAAUUACCUUAGGGAUAACAGCGUAAUUUUUUUUUUUAGUUCAAAUAGGAAAAAAAGUUUGCGACCUCGAUGUUGGAUUAAGAUAAAAUUUAAAUGCAAAAGUUUAAAAUUUUAAUCUGUUCGAU